Molecule: long non-coding RNA, 819 nt
Organism: Haliotis rubra (blacklip abalone)
Lineage: Eukaryota; Metazoa; Mollusca; Gastropoda; Lepetellida; Haliotidae
Exons: 3
Source: RefSeq, a predicted model, not a curated record
AUUAGGUAUUGGAGGCACAUAUUCUUUACUGGUGCUUCACUAUGGAGCGCCUGCAUCCCUGAGGUUAGGAUAUUUAUCACCAUAUCUACUGUGAGUGAUCACCAUACUCCAGAUUGUACAGACAUAAAAUCCCAUGAACCCCCAACAAGUAUUCCUCGUUUUCCAUCCAAGGACGUAGUACCUCUGUUACACAAAACUCAGAUACCUUGGCAAUAUAAGGAUGCAACUUCAAGACAGUUAGUUAGCGAACACAAAGCUUGUGCAUACAUCCAGAUGUCGUUUUGUCAAUACUGUUGUCGGGGCUGUGUUGUGGUUUGUAAUUCUUGUCAACAACAUAAUCUGCACUCCAACAUUUCACGAAGUCUUCAUCGUGGAAAAGGCUAUACUUGUUUCCGAGAUGAGAACGCAACUAUUUCCGGAUUGCGUUAUCUGGAACGCAAAUACAUAGUUCACGUAAACAGCAAUGUUUGAAGUCUGCUUCUGACAUAUAGACAUUGUGUCUAAUCUUCCUACUGUUCGCUAUGCCAAACCAACAUGAAAUAAACUAUAUUGUUUUAAACAUUUUGUUAUGAAAUAAUUUAUUAGGCAUAUUUACUAUCUUGACACAAGAACGAUUAAGUAAAUAAUAAUAUUUCUUGCAUAUAUGUUGCCAGGUACAUCGAAAUGACGGAGAGGACGUACAACGUUCACCCUUGCACUCACACAUUUCAUAGCACUUUGGACCUGUUAGUAUGCAAUACGAUGAACGCAGCGCAUCUUGGUAACUGUAUAUCCCGGCCAUGUUCUCAGAAAUAUAUAUUCUUACAUUCCUGUAUCGAC